AUUUCUGCAGGAAGCCUUUAACAAUGGGACCACCAGAGCUCGUGAAACCCAGCUAUGCUAUAGAAGCCAGUGCCUCUUCUUGGAAUUUCAACCCGGAGCUGUGUGAGCAGGAAUUAUUGGUCACUGUGAUUGAGCCUACUUUGCAACAACCCACUCAGUAUC
This is a long non-coding RNA of Toxotes jaculatrix (banded archerfish), 162 nucleotides long. RefSeq lists it as uncharacterized. The transcript has 3 exons. The record is from RefSeq and is a predicted model, not a curated record. Lineage: Eukaryota; Metazoa; Chordata; Actinopteri; Toxotidae.